Molecule: ribosomal RNA, 254 nt
Filed under: uncultured bacterium
Lineage: Bacteria
Description: partial 16S ribosomal RNA
Rfam family: Bacterial small subunit ribosomal RNA
Source: RNAcentral
UACGUAGGGCGCAAGCGUUGUCCGGAAUUAUUGGGCGUAAAGAGCUCGUAGGCGGUCUGUCGCGUCGGCUGUGAAAUCCCGGAGCUCAACUCCGGGUCUGCAGUCGAUACGGGCAUCGCUGGAGUGCGGCAGGGGAGACUGGAAUUCCUGGUGUAGCGGUGGAAUGCGCAGAUAUCAGGAGGAACACCGGUGGCGAAGGCGGGUCUCUGGGCCGUUACUGACGCUGAGGAGCGAAAGCGUGGGGAGCGAACAGG